This 1819-nucleotide unclassified non-coding RNA is filed under the name Hevea brasiliensis (rubber tree). The record is from RNAcentral. Lineage: Eukaryota; Viridiplantae; Streptophyta; Magnoliopsida; Malpighiales; Euphorbiaceae.
UACAAGUUUUCUUGCAAUGGGAUCAUAAUACGAGAUAUCAAAUGCUUUCUUAUCUUAACCCACUUUUCACCCAACCAAACAAAGAAAAACAAACUCUCCCUCCUACUCUUGCCUCUAUCUUGCCUCUAUCAUCCCUUUCAUUCUCUCUCCAAUAAAAUUACAAAGUAGUAAAGAAGAACAACAUAGGAGUAGAUAUUUAAUACUAAGACAUGAGCCAACAUCAUUAAACUUUCUUGUAAGAAAUCUUAAGGCAUUUACAUGAGCCGACAUGAACUUAACUAACUAGAAAGAAGAAGAGUAGGAACUUACCAGCAUGCUUACUGAUGGGGUAUUUGUAGUUUGUCAAAAAGAAAACUAUAUAAUGAAAUUUAUAAUUGGAGCAUAUCAUCAACAAAUAAGAUCAGAUAUUCUAGGAUAAAAAGAGACGAGGAAACAAGUACUAGGUGAAUUUGGUAAGCUAGGAGCAGACAUGAAAUGGUGAUAAAAGUUUCCAAGAUCCAUAUACCUAAGCUGCUGAUGUACCUUGCCUUAAUUUCAUAUAAAGCACAACUACAAUCUUUUGUCUAAAAUUUUAGUGAAUCUGACAACUAGGCUUAUUAACUUCAGCCUAGCACUAGGGAGUUCUCACAAGAAACAAUGCACAACCAAUACAGUAUGUUAUGGUGCCUUCUAUAGUUAUUUGGUUUCAUACAAAAUAUAAUUACUUUGUUACGAAAAAUAAGAUAAUUUAACAUAAAAUUAUAACUUCUCUCAUGAGAUAUUCAUAAAAUAAUUAUUUUUUCUGUAAAGUAAUUAAUUAUGAAAAUUUUAUUAGCUUAAUAAAAAAAAAUAAAGUUUCCUCAUACAAAAAAGCACAUUUAAAAAUAUUAUAUGGUAAAUUUUAUUAAAAAAUUAUAGGAACAGGUUUAGAAUUUAUUAAAUAUUAUUUACUAGAUUUUUAAAAAAUAUUAUAUAUGUUUUUUAAUGAAGAAACUUUUUUUCUGUUAAAGUUAAUAAAGUAAAAAAGAAUCAAGUAACCAUAGAAUACAUAGUAUGUUAUAUAUCCAGUAAGAUAAAGUCUCUUCCAUACAUUAGUAGAAAUAAAAUCUCAGUAUUGGGUACUUCCAUACAGCUUAGUGAACUGCUUAUAGUCCUCUAGAAUAUCAAACCAUUAUGGAACCAAUCAAGCAUGCCAAAGUAUUCAAAUUGCAAUUUUUGGAGCAUGUUUCCAGUCAUUAAGCAGCAAAGUAAAAAUUAAAAACUAAAUUUUAAAUCCAUUUCACACCCAAUAGCGAAAUACCAAAAUAGCACAAAUCAUUCAUUUCGUCAAAAACCAAGAACAAAAAUUUAAAGAAAAGAAAAAAGUCAUGUAAGCAAUCGACUAUAACGGUGGAUUUCUUUUCAUUUUUUUCUUAAUUACCGGGAAAGUACUUUCCAACGAUGCGCACUAUGCGGUUUCCAGAUUUAUCAGAGCCCUCGAGGCGAAAGAAUUGCAAGAGAUCUAGAUCGGAGAAAUCUUCAUCGGACAAGAGAUACUGAGAGCAAUCGUGCCAGCUUUCAGGUUCUUGAUCUUCUUCUUCUUUGAUAUCUCUUUCUCGAUUCGUCAGAAAGGGCGUGGCAUCUAUCCCUAAAUCCGACGCCAGCACCAGAACUGAGAAAUCAUCCGUCGGCGUAGAUGAGCUCGCCAUUUUACUGUUGUUCGCUUGGGCGGUGGCUGAGGAUAUGGGUCGGAGAAGGAGGGGGGAUUGGUCCGAUUGGAUACGCGAGCGUGCUCCUGCUGCGCACACGUGAUACAUGGAUUAACAACAAUAUAUUGGAUCCUAUGGCGCAAACAAGUCAG